AAACCGUGAUGUGGACAGAGUCUCAUCAUAUCCUUAUAUCUCUCCCAAGCCUCCAAAAGUGACCCGCCUUCUUUGUGUCUAAAACUAUUUACUUGGCUUUUUAGCAU
Vicia villosa (hairy vetch) is the source of this 107-nucleotide small nucleolar RNA. Lineage: Eukaryota; Viridiplantae; Streptophyta; Magnoliopsida; Fabales; Fabaceae. The record is from RefSeq and is a predicted model, not a curated record.